Molecule: long non-coding RNA, 338 nt
Organism: Centrocercus urophasianus (Greater sage-grouse)
Lineage: Eukaryota; Metazoa; Chordata; Aves; Galliformes; Phasianidae
Exons: 3
Source: RefSeq, a predicted model, not a curated record
AUGACUUCUGAUACAGGAGCAGAAAAAGUAAUGCAAUCUCUUUCUGGACGGUGAAGCUUUCCCCUGUGAACCUGGAAUCUUCUGAUAUGGCUUAAUACAAUCCCAGGCAUGAUAGUGCUGGAUGUGUGGCAAUAUAGAAUUAUGAUUCUACUGCAUUAUUAGAAGGGAAUAGAAAACUGAUGUGUUGAAGUAGAAGAAUUAAUGCUUAGGGUCAGAGAUGUGUCUGGAAAGAUGUAGAGAAAUGAAGCGUUGGGCAGAGAGUGAGCUGCAGUACUAGAUAGGCCCUCCCUUGCACCUGUCAUUGCUGCUGUCUGCUCCCAGCGUUCCAGAAUUAACUG